GAGUGGGAUGACGUCAAAUCAGCACGGCCCUUAUGUCCAGGGCUACACACGUGUUACAAUGGCCGGUACAGAGGGCAGCUACCUGGAGACAGGAUGCGAAUCUCGAAAAGCCGGUCUCAGUUCGGAUCGGAGUCUGCAACUCGACUCCGUGAAGCUGGAUUCGCUAGUAAUCGCGCAUCAGCCAUGGCGCGGUGAAUACGUUCCCGGGCCUU
This 212-nucleotide ribosomal RNA is filed under the name uncultured Bacteroidales bacterium. RNAcentral describes it as "partial 16S ribosomal RNA". It matches the Rfam family "Bacterial small subunit ribosomal RNA", at positions 1172 to 1382 of the family's 1533-position model. The record is from RNAcentral. Lineage: Bacteria; Pseudomonadati; Bacteroidota; Bacteroidia; Bacteroidales.